CAGUCGCCGCGGGAAUACGGAGGGGGCUAGCGUUGUUCGGAAUCACUGGGCGUAAAGGGAGCGUAGGCGGCGUGGUAAGUCAGAUGUGAAAUCCCGGGGCUCAACCCCGGAACUGCAUCCGAUACUGCCGUGCUAGAGGAUUGGAGAGGUAGCUGGAAUUCUUGGUGUAGCAGUGAAAUGCGUGGAGAUCAAGAGGAACACUCGUGGCGAAAGCGAGCUACUGGACAAUAUCUGACGCUGAGGCUCGAAGGCCAGGGUAGCGAAAGGGAUUAGAGACCCGGGUAGUCCCUGUCUCUUAUAC
This 301-nucleotide ribosomal RNA is filed under the name uncultured bacterium. RNAcentral's name for it is "partial 16S ribosomal RNA". It matches the Rfam family "Bacterial small subunit ribosomal RNA", at positions 509 to 807 of the family's 1533-position model. The record is from RNAcentral.